AUUGAACGCUGGCGGCAGGCCUAACACAUGCAAGUCGAGCGGAUGAAGGGAGCUUGCUCCUGGAUUCAGCGGCGGACGGGUGAGUAAUGCCUAGGAAUCUGCCUGGUAGUGGGGGAUAACGUCCGGAAACGGGCGCUAAUACCGCAUACGUCCUGAGGGAGAAAGUGGGGGAUCUUCGGACCUCACGCUAUCAGAUGAGCCUAGGUCGGAUUAGCUAGUUGGUGGGGUAAAGGCCUACCAAGGCGACGAUCCGUAACUGGUCUGAGAGGAUGAUCAGCCACACUGGAACUGAGACACGGUCCAGACUCCUACGGGAGGCAGCAGUGGGGAAUAUUGGGCAAUGGGCGAAAGCCUGAUCCAGCCAUGCCGCGUGUGUGAAGAAGGUCUUCGGAUUGUAAAGCACUUUAAGUUGGGAGGAAGGGCAGUAAGUUAAUACCUUGCUGUUUUGACGUUACCAACAGAAUAAGCACCGGCUAACUUCGUG
RNAcentral lists this ribosomal RNA (484 nucleotides) under uncultured bacterium. RNAcentral's name for it is "partial 16S ribosomal RNA". It matches the Rfam family "Bacterial small subunit ribosomal RNA", at positions 30 to 507 of the family's 1533-position model. The record is from RNAcentral.